This 368-nucleotide ribosomal RNA is filed under the name uncultured organism. RNAcentral describes it as "bacterial SSU rRNA". It matches the Rfam family "Bacterial small subunit ribosomal RNA", at positions 526 to 896 of the family's 1533-position model. The record is from RNAcentral.
CGUAGGUGGCAAGCGUUGUCCGGAUUUAUUGGGUUUAAAGGGUGCGUAGGCGGUCUAUUAAGUCAGUUGUGAAAUACGGCAGCUCAACUGUCGAGGUGCAAUUGAUACUGAUGGACUUGAGUACUGAUGAGGUAUGCGGAAUGGACGGUGUAGCGGUGAAAUGCUUAGAUAUCGUCCAGAACACCGAUAGCGAAGGCAGCAUACUAAGGAGUAACUGACGCUGAGGCACGAAAGUGUGGGGAUCAAACAGGAUUAGAUACCCUGGUAGUCCACACUGUAAACGAUGAUCACUCGAUGUUGGCGAUACACAGCCAGCGUCUUAGCAAAAGCGAUAAGUGAUCCACCUGGGGAGUACGCCGGCAACGGUG